Molecule: transfer RNA, 72 nt
Filed under: Bos taurus (domestic cattle)
Lineage: Eukaryota; Metazoa; Chordata; Mammalia; Artiodactyla; Bovidae
Also listed under: 5 other names
Rfam family: tRNA
About the family: Transfer RNA (tRNA) molecules are approximately 80 nucleotides in length.
Source: Rfam by way of RNAcentral
UCCCUGGUGGCUCAGAUGGUAAAGAACCUGCCUGCAAUGCAGGCAACCCAGGUUCAAUCCCUGGGUGGGGAA